RNAcentral lists this long non-coding RNA (867 nucleotides) under Salmo salar (Atlantic salmon). Its description in RNAcentral is "lncRNA (ENSSSAG00000119189.1)". The record is from RNAcentral. Lineage: Eukaryota; Metazoa; Chordata; Actinopteri; Salmoniformes; Salmonidae.
GGGUUACGUCAUGUCCCUGUUGUAAGGCAGGGUUACGUCAUGUCCCUGCUCUAAGGCAGGGUUACGUCAUGUCCCUGUUCUAAGGCAGGGUUACGUCAUGUCCUUGUUCUAAGGCAGGGUUACGUCAUGUCCCUUUUGUAAGGCAGGGUUAUGUCAUGUCCCUGUUGUAAGGCAGGGUUACGUCAUGUCCCUGUUGUAAGGCAGGGUUACAUCAUGUCCCUGUUGUAAGGCAGGGUUACGUCAUGUCCCUGUUGUAAGGCAGGGUUACAUCAUGUCCCUGUUGUAAGGCAGGGUUACGUCAUGUCCCUGUUGUAAGGCAGUGUUACGUCAUGUCCCUGUUGUAAGACAGGGUUACGUCAUGUCCCUGUUCUAAGGCAGGGUUACGUCAUGUCCUUGUUGUAAGGCAGGGUUACGUCAUGUCCCUGUUGUAAGGCAGGGUUACGUCAUGUCCCUGUUGUAAGGCAGGGUUACGUCAUGUACCUGCUCUAAGGCAGGGCUACGUCAUGUCCCUGUUGUAAAGCAGGGUUACGUCAUGUCCCUGUUGUAAGGCAGGGUUACGUCAUGUCCCUGUUCUAAGGCAGGGUUACGUCAUGUCCUUGUUCUAAGGCAGGGUUACGUCAUGUCCCUUUUGUAAGGCAGGGUUACGUCAUGUCCCUGUUGUAAGGCAGGGUUACGUCAUGUCCCUGUUGUAAGGCAGGGUUACGUCAUGUCCCUGUUGUAAGGCAGGGUUACGUCAUGUCCCUGUUGUAAGGCAGGGUUACGUCAUGUCCCUGCUGUAAGGCAGGGUUACGUCACGUCCAUGUUCUAAGGCAGGGUUAUGUCAUGUCCAUGUUGUAAGGCAGGGUUACGUCAUUUCCCUGUUCUAAG